UAAAAAAUAUAUAAUGGUUAUAUACACGAUUAUUAAUGGGCACUAACUGCCCACCCCACGAUCACAUGGUACCAUAAUAAGUGGGAUCCACGUGCUUAAUCAUUACAAACAGUUACCAACAGUGUCUAUAAAAAGGAGAUAAAGAAAUAACGAUAGUAAGAUACUUCUGAGCUGAUACUCUACCACACUUUAUAUUCAAUUUUUUGUUCGACUACUCCUCACU
RNAcentral lists this long non-coding RNA (223 nucleotides) under Elaeis guineensis (African oil palm). RNAcentral describes it as "long non-coding RNA (EGUI_LNC001387)". Lineage: Eukaryota; Viridiplantae; Streptophyta; Magnoliopsida; Arecales; Arecaceae. The record is from RNAcentral.